UACGGAGGGGGCCAGCGUUGUUCGGAAUCAUUGGGCGUAAAGGGCGCCUAGGUGGCAGAGCAAGUCGGACGUGAAAGCCCUCGGCUCAACCGGGGAAUUGCAUCCGAAACUGCUCAGCUCGAGUCCUGGAGAGGGUAGCGGAAUUCCCAGUGUAGCGGUGAAAUGCGUAGAUACUGGGAGGAACACCGGUGGCGAAGGCGGCUACCUGGACAGGUACUGACACUGACGCGCGAAAGCGUGGGGAGCAAACAGG
This 253-nucleotide ribosomal RNA is filed under the name uncultured bacterium. RNAcentral describes it as "partial 16S ribosomal RNA". It matches the Rfam family "Bacterial small subunit ribosomal RNA", at positions 524 to 776 of the family's 1533-position model. The record is from RNAcentral.